This is a ribosomal RNA of 1584 nucleotides. It matches the Rfam family "Bacterial small subunit ribosomal RNA". The record is from Rfam.
UUUUUGAAGAGUUUGAUCCUGGCUCAGGAUGAACGCUGGCGGCGUGCCUAAGAUAUGCAAGUCGAGCGGUAACGAGUUUCUCACCGAGGUUCGAAACAGCAAAAUGCAAAAAGUAAGAAGUAAAAUGGGCAGACCAAAAGCCCUUAUUGCCUUUUACAUAUUGCUUAUUGCUACAAUUCGAGCUUCAGUGAGAAAUGUCGACGAGCGGCGGACGGCUGAGUAACGCGUAGGAACGUACCCCAAAGUGAGGAAUAAGCCCGGGAAACCGGGUCUAAUGCCGCAUAAUCUCGUAUCUCACUAACGUUCGAUACUCGAGCGGAGAGUAAACAGCGAACAGCGUACAGAUAUAAACCCUGGACGCUGACCGCUACACGCUGAACGCUUGUAAAGUAGCGAGCGAUAGCGAGGUACGAGCAAAGCUUUUAGCGCUAUGGGAGCGGCCUGCGUAUGAUUAGCUUGUUGGUGAGGUAAAGGCUCACCAAGGCGACGAUCAUUAGCUGGUCUGAGAGGAUGACCAGCCAGACUGGGACUGAGAACGGCCCAGACCCCUACGGGGGGCAGCAAUUAGGAAUUUUUCACAAUGGGGGCAACCCUGAUGGAGCAACGCCGCGUGCAGGAGGAAGGUCUUCGGAUUGUAAACUGCUUUUAUCUGUGACGAUUAUGACGGUAACAGAUGAAUAAGGAUCGGCUAACUCCGUGCCAGCAGCCGCGGUCAUACGGAGGAUCCAAGCGUUAUCCGGAAUUACUGGGCGUAAAGAGUUGCGUAGGUGGCAAUAUAAGCAAAUAGUGAAAGCGUGCGGCUCAACCGCAUAUCCAUUAUUUGAACUGUAUAGCUUGAGCAUGAGAGAGGUAGAUGGAAUUUCUAGUGUAGGAGUGAAAUCCGUAGAUAUUAGAAGGAACACCGAUGGCGUAGGCAGUCUACUGGCUCAUUGCUGACACUAAGGCACGAAAGCGUGGGGAGCGAACGGGAUUAGAUACCCCGGUAGUCCACGCCGUAAACUAUGGAUGCUAGCUGUUAGAAGUAUCGACCCUUCUAGUAGCGAAGCUAACGCGUUAAGCAUCCCGCCUGUGGAGUACGGCCGCAAGGCUAAAACAUAAAGGAAUUGACGGGGACCCGCACAAGCGGUGGAGCGUGUUGUUUAAUUCGACGAUAAGCGAAGAACCUUACCAGGGUUUGACAUCCUGCCAAUCUUUCCGAAAGGAGAGAGUGCCUUCGGGCCGCAGUGACAGGUGUUGCAUGGCCGUCGUCAGCUCGUGUCGUGAGAUGUUUGGUUAAGUCCAUUAACGAGCGCAACCCUUAUAGUUAGUUGAAUUUUUCUAGCUAGACUGCCCUGGUAACAGGGAGGAAGGAGGGGAUGAUGUCAGGUCUGUAUUACCCUUACAUCCUGGGCUACAAACACGCUACAAUGGCCGGUACAAAGGGCAGCUAAGCCGCGAGGCGGAGCAAAUCCCAUCAAAGCCGGUCUCAGUUCGGAUUGCAGGCUGAAACUCGCCUGCAUGAAGCUGGAAUCGCUAGUAACGGUAGGUCAGCACACUACCGUGAAUACGUUCCCGGGUCUUGUACACAGAAUGAGAAGCGCCUGG